GACGAAGGAUCCAAGCGUUGUCCGGAUUUACUGGGUUUAAAGGGUGCGUAGGCGGAUAAAUAAGUCAGAGGUGAAAGCCUGCAGCUCAACUGUAGAAUUGCCUUUGAAACUGUUUAUCUAGAGUACACUUGAGGUGGCUGGAAUAUAUCAUGUAGCGGUGAAAUGCUUAGAUAUGAUAUAGAACACCAAUUGCGAAGGCAAGUCACUAAGAUGUAACUGACGCUGAGGCACGAAAGCGUGGGUAGCAAACAGG
Molecule: ribosomal RNA, 253 nt
Filed under: uncultured bacterium
Lineage: Bacteria
Description: partial 16S ribosomal RNA
Rfam family: Bacterial small subunit ribosomal RNA
Source: RNAcentral